UGCGGUUUGUCUCAUGGUCCUGGCA
Molecule: non-coding RNA, 25 nt
Filed under: Mus musculus (house mouse)
Lineage: Eukaryota; Metazoa; Chordata; Mammalia; Rodentia; Muridae
Source: RNAcentral